This 5483-nucleotide long non-coding RNA is filed under the name Homo sapiens (human). RNAcentral describes it as "HSALNT0388439". The record is from RNAcentral. Lineage: Eukaryota; Metazoa; Chordata; Mammalia; Primates; Hominidae.
CUUUCUCUCUUCGCCUGCUGCCGUCCAUGUAAGAUGGGACUUGCUCCUCCUUGCCUUCCACCAUGAUUGUGAGGCUUCCUCAGCCACGUGGAACUAUGCCCUGACCUUCCGGGAAACCCUCGGUGAGAGGCCCACAGCCUCGCUUCUAGGGUCACCACUGCUUCUUCCAGUCUAGCCAAACAGCUCCUAGUACAGCUCAGAGCACCCUGCAAGGAGGGCACGUGUUAAAUCGAGGAGCACACAUGCUCCACGAGGAAUUCUUUGCUUUGAGGCCAUGCACAGAGGUGGGUUCACUAUGAAGCUUGUGAAAUAAGCUUCAGGGCCCGCAUUUGCAUGGGCCACAGAGAGUCUGGGAGCUGCAGAAGGUUCAAGGGAAGAGGAGCCAUCACAAGCAGAAUAUUCUAGAAGGCAUUUCUGGCAAAUGGCCCAAAGAGGCCUCAGGAGAAAAGAACUUGAGUCUUCAAGGAUGCAAUGAGAAGGCACCAUCUGUGAGGAACAGGCCUCCGACAGACACCGAAUUUGCUGGCACUUUGAUCUUGGACUUCCCAGCCUCCAAAAUUAUCCAUAAUGGAUUCCUGGGACAUUUUCAGAUCUCCUUCCAGCUUCCUCUUCGCCCUUUCCAAGUCCGCCCGCAGUUUCUUCUCCUGCUCUAAGGAACCCUCAAGCUGAGAAGACACACAGAGACAAGGGCUUGCUCUGUUGCCCAAGCUAAAGUGCAGUGGUGUGAGUGUAGCCCACUGCAUCCUCACACUCCUGUGCUCAAGUGAUCCUCCCACCUCAGCCUCCCAAGUAGCUGGAACUACAAGAUGGAGUCUCGCUGCGAUGCCCAGGCUGGAGUGCAAUGGUGCAAUCUUGGCUCACUGCAACCUUCGUUUCCCAGGUUUAAGCAAUUCUCCUGCCUCAGCCUCCCAAGUAUCUGGGACUACAGGCGAGCGUCACCAUGCCUGGCUAAUUUUUGUAUUUUUAGUAGAGAUGUUUAGUAGAGAGUUUCACCAUAUUGGCCAGGCUGGUCUUGAACUCCUGACCUCAAGGGAUCCGCCCACCUUGGCCUCUCAAAGUGCUGGGAUUACAGGCGUGAGCCACCGUGCCUGGCAAUGUUUGUAGUUUCUUUCAUGAAUUUACCUCCUUUUAUUCUUUAAUCCCUGCUUAUCUCUAAAGAGUAAGUAACUGAAAGUAAUAAAACGGAAUUUUCUCAACAAUAUUUUAUAAGUUGAUUUCUUUUUCUUUCCUACAGGAAACAACCCAAUUUGCCAUCUUAAUUUGGAGUCUACUUUUUCUGAAUGACUCAGUUUUCUCUGAUACUUAAUCAAGAUGCAGCCUUGGGGGAAAAUGUCAUGUCCCAGUCUCCCCCAUGUUCCUUUCCCUUCAUCCCACUUUGUCCCCGGGGUCUAGCAUGACUGUGUGUUUGGAUUGGGGAAGUGAAGGCAGGAAAGUCGCUUCCCCAAAUCCGCAUCCACACAGGGUCUUAUGUUAGAGUUGAUGUUAUCUCUAGGCGAGGUUAUGCAAUGUAGUUACAGAGACAUUGUGAUUAGAUUCAAAGAAAAUGAUUUUCAUCAUUGAAGUUUACGCAUGUGCCCAUUUCCUAUUUAUUACAUUCCCUGGCCCAGAGGACAUUAGGCUUUCAUUUUUAAAAAAUGAUCUCAUUAUCUAAUGAAUAAUUAUAUUUCAUAUAUUUUAUUAAUUUAUUAAAUGUAUGCAUUUAAAAUGGCAUAUAAUGUUAAAACUCUAUGUUGGCUACUAUUUAAAAGUAUAUUUACUGGUAAUCUUAAAAAGUGUUACUGGCUUGUGUUACUUAUUUAUUUGUUUGAGAUAGGGUCUCACUCUGUCAUCCGGGCUGGAGUACAGUGGCCCAAUCAUGGCUCGCUGCAAUUUCAGCCACCCAAUCUCAUGUGAUCCUCCCAGCUCAGGUUCCCAAGUAGCUGGACUACAGGUGUGCACCACCACUUUUGGCUAAUUAUUUUAUUUUAUCUUAUUUUAUUUUGUUUUAGAGACAGGAUCUCUAUGUUGCCCACACUGGUCUUGAACUCCUGGCCUCAAAUGAUCCUUCUGCCUCAGCGUCCCAAAGUGUUGGGAUUACAGGUGUAAGCCACCACGCCUGGCCCCUGUGUAACCACUCUGGAAAAGAGUUCAGAAGUUACUCAAAAUUUUGAACACAGUUAUCAUAUGACCCAGCAACUCUACUCCUAGAGCCCAGUCUCUUACAGAAGAGGAAGAAUAAGAGCAGGAGGAAGAAAAAUGGAGCUGAAAGAGAAACAUCAUACUCAGCUGAAGCUCAUGUCUGAUUACUGGUUCUUCACAAGCAGCUCUGGGUUAGGAGUCAUUACAUAGAACGUCCCACAGAGGGAAAGAAAUGAUAGAAUUUUACCUGUCUCUGCACCAGCAUAGUUGGAAAAAAGGAAGGAGAGAAGCUUCAGCGAAGACUUCUGGUACAGCCCCACCACAGUCUCGUUCAGGGGGUCCUUGUUUUUGUCCAGCCAGCCGGCGAUGUUGUAGUCCACGGUGCCGGCAUAGUGCACCAGCGAGAAGUGAGCCUCAGCCUUGCCUUUGGCAGGCUUGGGCUUCUGGAAGUUGUUGGAUUUUCCAAGAUGCUGGUCAUACAGCUUGUUCUUGAAGGAGGUGUCUGUUGCCUUGGGGAACAUGCACUCCUCUUCCAGGAUGGAGAAGAUGCCCAUAGGCUGGAAAGAGGAUAACAGAGUCUACAUAUAAUAGUGCAUACCCAUGCUUCAUGGUCUGGAGAAGCCAAAAAACCUUCUUUGGUGCUUUCACUCUGGUACCAGGAAUGCUGGCAUGUACGCUCGGUGAGAGCAAGACUCUUGGUCUGUUUGGGGGAUGACCAGAAAGUGCUAGGCAUAGAGUAUGUGCUUAAUUAAUAUUUGCUGAACAAAAGAAUAUAGGAUAAAAUUAUGUGUGUAUAAACCUAGCAUACUUUUUUCAAUAGGUGUACAAAAAAGUAAAGUUUCAUAUAUAGCCAUAAAGUAAUGUGAGUAAUAUUUUGAACAAUAAUGUCCCAAUUUCUCAGUAGCCACCUUAGGAAGAUAUACUCAUUCCAACAUGAGCAGUGCUCAAAUAUUAUGGGAAUUCCUUUUUAAAAAGUUAAUGUCGGCCGGGCGUGGUGGUUCACGUCUGUAAUCCCAGUACUUUGGGAGGCUGAGGUGGGUGGAUCACAAGGUCAGGAGUUUGAGACCAGCCUGGCCAACAUGGUGAAACCCCGUCUCUACAAAAAAAAGAAAAAAAAAAUUAUCUGGGCGUGGUGGCGGGCACCUGUAGUCCCAACUAUUCAGGAGGUGGAGGCAGGAGGAUCGCUUGAACCUGGGAGGUGGAGGUUGCAGUGAUCCGAGACUGCACCACUGCACUCCAGCCUGGGUGACAGAGCAAGACUCCGUCUCAAAAAAAAAAAAAAAAAAAAAAGUUAAUAUCUAUUCCUGUUUUCAUAUUAACAUCCCUCCAAGAGCCACACUGCUCCAUGGUUCCGCCUCCUUGGGUCUUUGGGUAAGUCAAAUAGGUAAGAAAUGCCACAGUCCUUACUGGGGUUCCAUCACAUUCUUGGAGAUAACUGAGCCCUUGGAUUUUAAUGACCCGUAAACCUCUUUAAGUGUCAGAACAGAUUUAGGACAUUCAUUCUCUUUGCAAAUAGGCAUUCAGUUAUCUAUCUGAAGGCUUGCAGCCUGGGGGCUAGGGGCCCCAAUCUGUGAGCAGAAAAGAAUCAGAGCAAGAAGGGGAGGGCCCCCAAUAAGGAGGAGCUGUCCCAGGCAGCAGUAUCUCUCUACCUUCUCGAUGAGCUCGAUGCAGGCAGCCAGGUCCAUUCCGAAGUCAAUGAACUCCCACUCGAUGCCUUCCUUCUUGUACUCUUCCUGCUCCAGCACGAACAUGUGGUGGUUGAAAAACUGUUGCAGUUUCUCAUUGGUGAAGUUGAUGCACAGCUGCUCCAGGCUGUUGAACUGGGUGAUUCAAAUACCAAAGAAUUUGAGUGAGCUUGGAAAAUACAUUGGAGAUUCAGCAAAGCAGACAAGAAAGUAGAAGGUCACAACUCACAUCAAAGAUCUCAAAGCCAGCAAUGUCCAAGACCCCGAUGAAGUACUGCCUGGGCUGCUUGGUGUCCAGCUGCUGGUUGAUGCGGGUGACCAUCCACAGGAACAUCUUCUCGUAGACGGCUUUGGCCAGAGCACCCACCGAAUUGGUCACCUUGAAAAAGGAUCACCCACUCAACCCUUGAGUUAGUGUUUCUAUGGCUGCAUUAAGUUGAAACAUAUGAAAUUGACUCGAAAAUCAAAAGCUGUUGGCUAGGCGUGGUGGCUCACACCUGUAAUCCCAGCACUUUGGGAGGCCAAGGCGGGCGGAUCACGAGGUCAGGAGUUCAAGACCAUCCUGGCCAACAUGGUGAAACCCCGUCUCUACUAAAAAUACAAAAAUUAGCCAGGUGUGGUGGCAGGCGCCUGUAGUCCCAGCUAUUCGGGAGGCUGAGGCAGGAGAAUCACUUGAACUUGGGAGGUGGAGGUUGCAGUGAGCCAAGAUCGUGCCACUGCACUCCAGCCUGGUGACAUAGCGAGACUCUGUCUCAAAAAAAAAAAAAAAAAAAAAACAAAAGAAAAAAAGAAAAUCAAAAGCAGUUGAAUAUUGGCAAUUUCAGAUCAUUCAAUGCAAUAUUAAAUAUUUUAUGAGGUGUUUGCCCAGCUCAUGUUGUUCACCUUUCUUUGAGAACUAUCCUAUUCACAAAGAUAUUUUUCUAACAACAUGGUUAUAGCACAUGACUCCAGCCCCUGGCCACACUUAAUUAGACCAGAGGUGAACACUUGAUCCAGAUUGGAUUAAUUGAGUAUCUCUCCUAAGAAUUUGGAAUAGGGAUCAAAAGACACUGGUCUCAGUCUCAGGGUGAGGCUGGAAACACAGAGAUAUAAACUUGGGAGCUAUGGGGUGGCCACGGGCAAGAGAGGUCCAGGAAACUUAUCUGCCUAGCAAGGACACAACAGAGGAGAGACUCAACAGCCCAUGAAUCCCAGAGGAGCUGGAGGGAGGCUGCCUGGCUCCAGAGGGCUCUUCACUUUCUAAUUCCAGGUCCUCAUGGCGUCCAAUGGGCACUUAAUGAUUUGCAUUCCUUCAGUUGCCUCUGAAGCCUAAAAAUGAACUUCCUCUUAAUGUGAAAGCUGAUUUCAUGUGCAUUUCUGAUACCUGCAACUGAAGGAGCUUUAAGAUAAUGGCUCAAAUAGCAAAAGAUCUCAAUCAACUGGAUUCAGAGCAUCUCCAUUACCUGCUGGACAUUUUGCCCUUUAGUGACAUAUUCAUUGCCAACCUUCACCCUUGGACAGCACAGGCCCUUCAGCAUUUCUGCAGAAUUCAGUCCCAUCAGGUAUCCGGCUUUGUCAGCCACUGAAGGAAGAGAAAAAAAUGGCAUCAUGCAAAAACAGUAGCUGCUAAAGUGUCCAGUCAGCCCCUGGCUUCUCCCAGAAGUGUUUUCUGUAAUUUUCUUAAAUGUUUUCAUGUUGUCA